This 87-nucleotide transfer RNA is filed under the name Parcubacteria bacterium RAAC4_OD1_1. It matches the Rfam family "tRNA". Rfam says of the family: Transfer RNA (tRNA) molecules are approximately 80 nucleotides in length. RNAcentral also lists the same sequence under 1 other name. The record is from Rfam by way of RNAcentral. Lineage: Bacteria; Candidatus Parcubacteria.
GGAAGCGUGGCUGAGAGGUUGAAAGCACCACUUUCGAAAAGUGGCAUGCGGGAAACCGUAUCGUGAGUUCGAAUCUCACCGCUUCCG